This 458-nucleotide ribosomal RNA is filed under the name uncultured bacterium. RNAcentral describes it as "partial 16S ribosomal RNA". It matches the Rfam family "Bacterial small subunit ribosomal RNA", at positions 338 to 795 of the family's 1533-position model. The record is from RNAcentral.
CCUACGGGGGGCAGCAGUGAGGAAUCUUGGUCCAUGGGCGAGAGCCUUAACCAGCCAAGUCGCGUGAGGGAGUACUGCCCUAUGGGUUGUAAACCUCUUUUUUCGGGGAGCAAAAGCCGGACGUUUCCGGCUGUGAGAGUACCCGAUGACAAAGCAUCGGCUAACUCCGUGCCAUCAGCCGCGGUAAUACGGAGGAUGCAAGCGUUAUCCGGAUUUAUUGGGGUUAAAGGGUGCGCAGGCGGAUUUUUAAGUCAGCGGUGACAUCGUGGGGUUCAACCCCAUCACGCCGUUGACACUGGGGAUCUAGAGGGUGCGAGAGGGAUGCGGAAUGCGUGGUGUAGCGGUGAAAUGCAUAGAUAUCACGCAGAACCCCGAUUGCGAAGGCAGCAUACCGGUGCACAACUGACGCUCAGGCACGAAAGCGUGGGUAUCGAACAGGAUUAGAUACCCGAGUAGUC